RNAcentral lists this ribosomal RNA (228 nucleotides) under uncultured bacterium. RNAcentral describes it as "partial 16S ribosomal RNA". It matches the Rfam family "Bacterial small subunit ribosomal RNA", at positions 568 to 795 of the family's 1533-position model. The record is from RNAcentral.
UGCGUAGGCGGGCUAAUAAGUCAGUGGUGAAAUCUUUCGGCUCAACCGAGAAACUGCCAUUGAUACUGUUAGUCUUGAGUUCGGUUGAGGUAGGCGGAAUGUGUAAUGUAGCGGUGAAAUGCUUAGAUAUUACACAGAACACCAAUUGCGUAGGCAGCUUACUAGACCGACACUGACGCUGAGGCACGAAAGCGUGGGGAGCGAACAGGAUUAGAUACCCUGGUAGAC